AGUCAGAAGAAACCUCAUCUGCUGCCAUGAUAAAAGUGAUUUGUCUUGUAGUUCUGGCUGUAGUGAUCUGUGGAUCAUGGGCUCAAGAAACUGAACAAAG
Molecule: long non-coding RNA, 100 nt
Organism: Gambusia affinis (western mosquitofish)
Lineage: Eukaryota; Metazoa; Chordata; Actinopteri; Cyprinodontiformes; Poeciliidae
Exons: 3
Source: RefSeq, a predicted model, not a curated record